This 902-nucleotide ribosomal RNA is filed under the name Exophiala dermatitidis. RNAcentral's name for it is "LSU rRNA". It matches the Rfam family "Eukaryotic large subunit ribosomal RNA", at positions 74 to 993 of the family's 3401-position model. The record is from RNAcentral. Lineage: Eukaryota; Fungi; Ascomycota; Eurotiomycetes; Chaetothyriales; Herpotrichiellaceae.
AUUGCCUCAGUAACGGCGAGUGAAGCGGCAACAGCUCAAAUUUGAAAUCUGGCCUCUUUGGGGUCCGAGUUGUAAUUUGUAGAGGAUGUUUCGGGCACCGCUCCGGUUUAAAUUUCUUGGAACAGAAUGUCAAAGAGGGUGAGAACCCCGUCUUGGACCGGCAGUAGGGCCCAUGUGAAACUCCUUCGACGAGUCGAGUUGUUUGGGAAUGCAGCUCAAAAUGGGUGGUAAAUUUCAUCUAAAGCUAAAUAUUGGCCAGAGACCGAUAGCGCACAAGUAGAGUGAUCGAAAGAUGAAAAGCACUUUGAAAAGAGAGUUAAACAGUACGUGAAAUUGUUGAAAGGGAAGCGCUUGCAACCAGACUUGCGCGCGGCGGUUCCCCCUUCCUUUUGGUUGGGUUAUUCCGCCGUGUCCAGGCCAACAUCGGUUCUGGGGGUCGGUUAAAGGCCUGGGGAAUGUAUCUACCCUUCGGGCGUAGACUUAUAGCCCCGGGUGUCAUGCGACCUCCCGGGACCGAGGAACGCGCUUCGGCUCGGAUGUUGGCGUAAUGGUUGUCAGCGACCCGUCUUGAAACACGGACCAAGGAGUCUAACAUCUAUGCGAGUGUUUGGGUGUCAAACCCGGAACGCGGAAUGAAAGUGAACGGAGGUAGGAAGCUUCGGCUGCACUAUCGACCGAUCCUGAUGUCUUCGGAUGGAUUUGAGUAAGAGCAUAGCUGUUGGGACCCGAAAGAUGGUGAACUAUGCCUGAAUAGGGUGAAGCCAGAGGAAACUCUGGUGGAGGCUCGCAGCGGUUCUGACGUGCAAAUCGAUCGUCAAUUUGGGUAUAGGGGCGAAAGACUAAUCGAACCAUUAAAAGUUACCGGGUGGGUAAAGUGUACCCGUGGAAAGCGGUUGCAAGUG